Molecule: long non-coding RNA, 357 nt
Filed under: Homo sapiens (human)
Lineage: Eukaryota; Metazoa; Chordata; Mammalia; Primates; Hominidae
Description: non-protein coding lnc-SARM1-4:1
Source: RNAcentral
AAAGCCAAUUGCCUGAAAUUGACCUGUGGUAAAGCACCCAGGGAGCUACUGACUACAAAAGCCGCUUGCAAGAGUGCGCCCUCUACUGCAGAGAUGAAGAAACCCUAUCCUUACAGGCUUGCCACUGUGGCACUCCGGGAACGUAGACAUGCUCAGAAGUCCACCAAACCUCUGAUUGCAAACUUCCCUUCCAAUGUCUGGUGUGAAAAGUUGCUCAGAACUUUAAAACAGAUCUGUGUUGGCCUGUCUGUUUGGCCUUUUGAAGACACCGAGUUGUGUGCAACCCAUGCCAAACGUGUAACAACUAUGCCAAAAGACAUCCAGCUAACACACUGCCUACGUAGAGAACGUGCUUAA